GCUCAUUAUCUAGCUUGGCUGCUGCUCCUUGACAACUGGUUUCCUGGGACUCUGCUGUCCUUGAACAGAGGGAGCAGAAUGGGGGCUUCCGUCCCACCCACAGAGCCUCUGCCCCUGAGGCCGAGUCCUUCCUAAGGGUUUCUGGAGGUUGCCCACUGAAGGCCAGGCCCUGGGCUGGACAGUGGGCACCGGGGAUGGCCAAAGCAAGCAUGGCCAGGGGCUCUGGUUCUAGUGUCCGGAUGAGUCUGAGACCCCAGGAGUAGAGGGAGGAAGGGGGUGCACAGAGGAGGAGGACAGGAAGCACUUAUGCAUGAGCUGCAGGAAUCCCCGGAUACUAGAUGGUAGCUUGGAGGUCACCCAGCCUCGCCUUUGACUUUACAGAUGGGCAAAGGAGGCCCAGGAAGUCGAAUGAUUCAGUGGAAGAGGAGCAGGGCAGGACCAAAACCCAGGCGCUCCCAGAGUCCAACACAGAUAUUGGCCGACUCAACAAUAGGGAAAAUAGACAAAACCAAAUGGACACUUACAGACCAGUCCUCCCCACCCCCACACCCCCAUCCCUGGGCAUGCACAUAUGUGGGCACUCCAGAAGGUCAAAGGAAAUCUCCCACCCCAUGCGCUUUCCCUUCAUCCCAGAUGGAGAAAGAGAAGGUGCCCCUCCCCCACCCUGCGGAUGUAGGGAAAGGGCGACCAAUGACAGACUGGCAACCUGGAGCACUAGCUCCUGUCCACCCACCCUGGGGCGCUCUCUGCUCCCCACAUGGAGGCCCCAUCCAGGAAGAACCUUUCAAACCACCCAGAGGUACAGCGAGCCCCUGGGGCUCUUCACACCCAGGGGCUUCCACUUGCAAAGUAAAUCCUCAAAAAUAAUCCGGUAGAUUUCAUUUUUUGUCUUAACAACCGUGAUGAGAGCCCCUACAGAAUGGAGAAAAUCUUUGCCACCUGUGCCUCAGAGCACUAAUCUCCAGGAUAUAC
RNAcentral lists this long non-coding RNA (972 nucleotides) under Marmota monax (woodchuck). The record is from RNAcentral. Lineage: Eukaryota; Metazoa; Chordata; Mammalia; Rodentia; Sciuridae.